AUAAAAAAGGGAUUAAAUUGGGAAUUAGGGUUCUUGUGACCCUUCAGACUCUCCUCUCUCGUUCUCGUUCACCCCUAACCUCUCCGGCGGCCAUCUCCGCCUCCGACCGCCUUAAUCACCACAAUCAAAACACCAAUCCUAUCUAAAAUUAUACUCCGAUUGCGAAUCAGCAGCUAGAUUUAGCAACAAACUCCUGAAUCAACGAGAUCGACGUUCAACUAAGAACCCUAGAUUUUGGGAUUUCCAGAUCCGAGCACGAUUCACACAAAAUUGAAGCAAGCGGAAUUCUGAUUAGAUCAUAGAUACACAGAUAAGGGUCGAAAGUGAUAGGGAACGAACCUGUUAAGGCGAUCUGAACCUCCGGUGCGGUGGCGGAGAUUCCCGACCACCGCGAAGCUCGGAAUUAUUGAUGAAGAAUAUUGGAUUGUUAUGCUUGAAGAAAGACUGUGGCAGUGAUGACGAUGAUUGUUUGAAGCGAGGUUGUUGAAUUCAUUGAAGUUCUUUGCUGCAGAAUUAAGGUCGAAGGAGGUUUGAAGAUGAUGAAAUUGAAGCGUGAAGAUGAAGGAGAUGUGAAUCGGUUAUGGUGGAUUGAAGGUAGAUUGAAGAGUUCUUGGACAAUCGAAGUUUGAAGAUUAAUUUUCUGAGUUUUCUGGAAGGAAUGAAUCGAGAGAGAGCAAGAGUUGGGGAUUGGUGAUGAAGAUGGAGAUUGAGGAUGAAGAGAAAGGGAGCAGAGAAGAUGAAGAUGGGGGAGAUUGAAGAGGGAUCAGAAAGUGAAAAAAGGUGGAAGAUUGGAGAGUGGAAGGAGCAAAAAUGGUGGAGACCUUGAAGAUUGGAGGGAAUUGAAUUAUAUAACUGAGGGUUUGAAUUCAGUUAGAGCUUGAAGUUAGUUACAAAAGGGAGAAGCUUGAGCCAAUGGAUCAAAAAGGUCCAGAAUCAAUGUAGUUAAAGGUUUUGGAAGGUUCAAAGGAUGACUGCACAGGGGUCCAGUAGCAUGAACAUAGUUCAACGGAGAUUCAAGAUUUGGAGAUUGAAAAGUAGAAGGAUUAGUAGUGUUGCGUUUAGGAAUAUGUUAGAAAUGCAAUUUCUAUGUGUGUGAUGGGGUUGGAUUGGAAUUUGUAUGGGUUGAAUGAACUUGAAAAUGUGAAUGAUUUUAUGGAUAUGUGAUGUUGCUAUUGAAUUUGUAAUGAAAUUUGCGAGGCCUUUUGGUUUAUGGAUUUGUUUUGUAAUUGUAAAUGGAAUGGUCUUGAAUGGGAUUGAAAAUGUGAAAUAUGUAAUAGUUUUGAAUGGAACUUGAAUGAAUAAUUGUAAUGAGCAUUUGUGAUUUUUUUUAAUGGAUUUGGAUACUUUUGAAGACCUUUUGUAAUGGAAAUUUCUUUCUUGUGGGCAAAUAUGCAUAACACUCGAGUAAGGUCAUAAAAAUCUUGAUCAAUCCCCUUUUGGAAUAUAUCUUGACCAUUCUUUGAUUUUCACAAGAGAAUGCUUCCAAACUAAAGGACAAAUUAUAUUUGCAUCUUGAAGAAACCUUAAUUUCAAAUUGAACCUUUAGACACCUAAUAUCUUGUUGAUCCACACUUCAAUCAAAAGAAAACCUCUUGGUUUAAAUAGCCC
Vicia villosa (hairy vetch) is the source of this 1608-nucleotide long non-coding RNA. RefSeq lists it as uncharacterized. The record is from RefSeq and is a predicted model, not a curated record. Lineage: Eukaryota; Viridiplantae; Streptophyta; Magnoliopsida; Fabales; Fabaceae. The transcript is spliced from 3 exons.